GAUGAACGCUGGCGGCGUGCCUAAUACAUGCAAGUAGAACGCUGAAGCUUGGUGCUUGCACCGAGCGGAUGAGUUGCGAACGGGUGAGUAACGCGUAGGUAACCUGCCUCUUAGCGGGGGAUAACUAUUGGAAACGAUAGCUAAUACCGCAUAAAAGUCGAUAUCGCAUGAUAUUGAUUUGAAAGGUGCAAAUGCAUCACUAAGAGAUGGACCUGCGUUGUAUUAGCUAGUUGGUGAAGUAACGGCUCACCAAGGCGACGAUACAUAGCCGACCUGAGAGGGUGAUCGGCCACACUGGGACUGAGACACGGCCCAGACUCCUACGGGAGGCAGCAGUAGGGAAUCUUCGGCAAUGGGGGCAACCCUGACCGAGCAACGCCGCGUGAGUGAAGAAGGUUUUCGGAUCGUAAAGCUCUGUUGUAAGAGAAGAACGAGUGUGAGAGUGGAAAGUUCACACUGUGACGGUAACUUACCAGAAAGGGACGGCUAACUACGUG
This 497-nucleotide ribosomal RNA is filed under the name uncultured bacterium. RNAcentral describes it as "partial 16S ribosomal RNA". It matches the Rfam family "Bacterial small subunit ribosomal RNA", at positions 28 to 507 of the family's 1533-position model. The record is from RNAcentral.